Molecule: long non-coding RNA, 210 nt
Organism: Pygoscelis adeliae (Adelie penguin)
Lineage: Eukaryota; Metazoa; Chordata; Aves; Sphenisciformes; Spheniscidae
Exons: 2
Source: RefSeq, a predicted model, not a curated record
UCGUACACAUCAGCCUGGGAGAAAGAUAAAACCAGCGUUCACAUUAUGCCGGAUACACCUGGUAUUUUGCUAGCCCAGCAGAACCAAGCGAACUUCAGUGAGAAACUGUACAAGCUUGCGAUGGAGGAAGAGAAGAAAAAGGGCUACGACAUGCGGGCAGAUGCCAUUCCUAUCAAGUCUGCUAAAGCUUCCAGGGACAUUGCAAGUGAU